RNAcentral lists this long non-coding RNA (1037 nucleotides) under Daphnia pulex (common water flea). RNAcentral's name for it is "uncharacterized LOC124201034, transcript variant X3". The record is from RNAcentral. Lineage: Eukaryota; Metazoa; Arthropoda; Branchiopoda; Diplostraca; Daphniidae.
CAAGUUACCCUUGAGAAAGUGUAUAAAUAGUCUCGUCACUUGCUAUUCAAGCAUGGUCAAAAUUUUUAACAUGAGUUUGAGCUGCAUGUACCGAAAAAGCAAUUGGAAAAUGGUGUGAGAUUUCGAAUAUGUAAUUUGCAGGCAAAUUAUUUUCAAGAUGGUAUGAUCUUUCAUCUUUGUGCAGCAGAAAAUCUGAAGCAACUUCAUCUGUGAAUGUGAGGUUUAUCUGGAUGCAAGUCUUUGAGAGGUCAGCUGGCUGCCUUCUUUGGGAAUUCUUUGGGUCUUCCGAUAGAACCAAGCUAAAGGUGUAGUUGUAUGGUUGUGACAAUAAGCUUCUGGUCUCUGAGGAUGCCUGGAUGCAAGUCUGCAGUUGAGGUGAUUUAUUCUCAAAUAUAAAUAGCACCUUCGUUUCCCUACCGACUGCUAGUUUCAAGGGUUUCACCUAAUGAUACUUUCAACAUAUUUAUGGAAUUCUUUGUGGAGCGAUUGAUGGAUUUCAUUGUUUGAAAUGGUAUGGUUGGGUGACUUACUGCAAGUUUCUUAAUAUAACUGACACUGGCUGCCUUUUUGGUGUCAAGGAAGAAACGGAUCGAGGUAUGUUCACGUGAGGAAGUUUGUUCGAAUUAUUCUUUCCAAUGAUGUUGUAAUUUGCGACUGAGGCUUGUUUCUGCUGGACAUGCCUGCGUCCAUUAUGGUAGUCUUGGGAAUCAUACCUCAGUGCCUGAGGAAGCCUGGAUCGUCUGCUCUUGAAGGUGAUUUAUUUUCGGGCUUGAGCUGAUGCACAUGGUGUCUUGUUUCCAUAUCGACUGCUUGCUUCAAGUGCGUUCGUCGCUUCAAGGCUUCUGGCUCCGUCGUGUCGGUUUUUUCACUUGCGUCGCUAGGGUUAACAAGGAACUGAAGCUGUCGGUCAACAGCAGGAUCGAUGCGUGUGGCCUGGUUCGCUAGGUAUUUGGAAAAUGGCCGUAGGUUCCAAUCGUGAUGUAGUAUUCGUAAUGUGUAUGGACUCGUUUGAAUAAACCUGUUUUGCAGAAAUGAAA